This 429-nucleotide ribosomal RNA is filed under the name Actinomycetes bacterium. RNAcentral's name for it is "Actinobacteria bacterium partial 16S ribosomal RNA". It matches the Rfam family "Bacterial small subunit ribosomal RNA", at positions 355 to 776 of the family's 1533-position model. The record is from RNAcentral. Lineage: Bacteria; Bacillati; Actinomycetota; Actinomycetes.
UAGGGAAUCUUCCGCAAUGGGCGAAAGCCUGACGGAGCAACGCCGCGUGAGUGAUGAAGGUCUUCGGAUCGUAAAACUCUGUUAUUAGGGAAGAACAAAUGUGUAAGUAACUAUGCACGUCUUGACGGUACCUAAUCAGAAAGCCACGGCUAACUACGUGCCAGCAGCCGCGGUAAUACGUAGGUGGCAAGCGUUAUCCGGAAUUAUUGGGCGAAAAGCGCGCGGAGGCGGUUUUUUAAGUCUGAUGUGAAAGCCCACGGCUCAACCGUGGAGGGUCAUUGGAAACUGGAAAACUUGAGUGCAGAAGAGGAAAGUGGAAUUCCAUGUGUAGCGGUGAAAUGCGCAGAGAUAUGGAGGAACACCAGUGGCGAAGGCGACUUUCUGGUCUGUAACUGACGCUGAUGUGCGAAAGCGUGGGGAUCAAACAGG